Molecule: non-coding RNA, 1362 nt
Organism: Xyrichtys novacula (pearly razorfish)
Lineage: Eukaryota; Metazoa; Chordata; Actinopteri; Labriformes; Labridae
Source: the annotation of a GenBank genome assembly
UGGCUUUUGAGCAGCUGCAGAAAGGAAACCUGAUCUUCUAUGAAUCUGACCUCAGAGAGAGUGGCAUCGAUAUCAGAGCAGCCUCAGUCUACUCAGGAGUCUUCACACAGGUCUUUAGAGAAGAGAGAGGACUGUACCAGGACAAGGUUUUCUGCUUCAUCCAUCUGAGUGUCCAGGAGUUUUUGGCUGCUCUUCAUGUCCACCUGACCUUUACAAACUCUGGAGUCAACCUGAUGAAGGAAGAACAAACAACAUCCUCAAUCUCUACAAUCCUUGGUGUCAAACGAAAACCGAAACAUCUCCAUCAGAGUGCUGUGGACAAGGCCUUACAGAGUCCAAACGGACACCUGGAUUUAUUUCUACGUUUCCCCCUGGGUCUUUCACUGCAAACCAAUCAGAAUUUCCUGAGAGGUCUGCUGACACACACAGGAGGUAGCUCACAGACCAAUCAAGAAACAGUCCAGUACAUCAAGAAGAAGAUCAGCGAGGAUCUGUCUGCAGAGAAAAGCAUCAAUCUGAAUGAACUAAAUGAUCGUUCUCUAGUAAAUGAGAUCCAGUGGUCCCUGAGAUCAGAACAUCUCUUCACAGAGAAACUGUCCCCCGCUCAGUGGUCAGCUCUGGUCUUCAUCCUACUGUCAUCAGAAAAAGAUGUGGAAGUAUUACUAGUAUUAGUAUACUGCUGGCAGUGGUCAAAGCCUCCAACAAAGCUCUGUGAGUGGACACGUGAGAGAUUAAAACAUUAUUGUUCAUGAGAGAUGAAACAUUGUGUCUCUGCUAAUCACUGAAUCUUCUUCAGUCUGAGCGGAUCUAACCUGUCAAAGAGAAGCUGUGAAGCUCUGUCCUCAGUCCACAGCUCCCAGUCCUCCAGUCUGAGAGAGCUGGACCUGAGCAACAACGACCUGCAGGAUUCAGGAGUGAAGCUGCUGUCUGCUGGACUUGAGAGUCCUCACUGUUCACUGGAAACUCUCAGGUCAGGUUUUCUGCUGAUUGAGUUUUAUAGUUGUUUGAAUGAAAUUGUCUAAAAUUGGUACACUUUUCCUUGUUUCACAUUUUUUUCUGACUCCAGGUUAUCAGGCUGUCUGAUCACAGGAGAAGGUUGUGCUUCACACCUGAGAGAACUGGACCUGAGCUACAAUCAUCCAGGAGACUCAGGAGUAAAACUGCUGUCUGCUGGACUGGAGGAUCCUCUAUGGAGACUGGAUACACGGAGGUAUAACCAGACAGUUACUGGGUCACAGACAACUACACAUAUAUUUGGUAUCUGCUACCUGAGGUUUUCACUUAGCAGGUCAUCAUUGUGGACCAUCUUUCUGAUGGACUCUUGGAUGUGAACUGUUUCAUCCUGGAUUGUAGCUCUGAUGC